AUUGAACGCUGGCGGCAGGCUCAACACAUGCAAGUCGAGCGGGGGAAGGUAGCUUGCUACUGGACCUAGCGGCGGACGGGUGAGUAAUGCUUAGGAAUCUGCCUAUUAGUGGGGGACAACAUCUCGAAAGGGAUGCUAAUACCGCAUACGUCCUACGGGAGAAAGCAGGGGAUCUUCGGACCUUGCGCUAAUAGAUGAGCCUAAGUCGUAUUAGCUAGUUGGUGGGGUAAAGGCCUACCAAGGCGACGAUCUGUAGCGGGUCUGAGAGGAUGAUCCGCCACACUGGGACUGAGACACGGCCCAGACUCCUACGGGAGGCAGCAGUGGGGAAUAUUGGACAAUGGGGGGAACCCUGAUCCAGCCAUGCCGCGUGUGUGAAGAAGGCCUUAUGGUUGUAAAGCACUUUAAGCGAGGAGGAGGCUACUCUAGUUAAUACCUAGGGAUAGUGGACGUUACUCGCAGAAUAAGCACCGGCUAACUCUGUGCCAGCCGCCGCGGUAA
Molecule: ribosomal RNA, 501 nt
Filed under: uncultured bacterium
Lineage: Bacteria
Description: partial 16S ribosomal RNA
Rfam family: Bacterial small subunit ribosomal RNA
Source: RNAcentral